RNAcentral lists this non-coding RNA (28 nucleotides) under Bombyx mori (domestic silkworm). Lineage: Eukaryota; Metazoa; Arthropoda; Insecta; Lepidoptera; Bombycidae. The record is from RNAcentral.
UGUCAAUUAUCUUGCGUUGUAUGAUGGC